This 492-nucleotide ribosomal RNA is filed under the name uncultured bacterium. RNAcentral describes it as "partial 16S ribosomal RNA". It matches the Rfam family "Bacterial small subunit ribosomal RNA", at positions 29 to 507 of the family's 1533-position model. The record is from RNAcentral.
AGUGAACGCUGGCGGUAGGCCUAACACAUGCAAGUCGAACGGCAGCACAGUAAGAGCUUGCUCUUACGGGUGGCGAGUGGCGGACGGGUGAGGAAUACAUCGGAAUCUACUUUUUCGUGGGGGAUAACGUAGGGAAACUUACGCUAAUACCGCAUACGACCUACGGGUGAAAGCAGGGGAUCUUCGGACCUUGCGCGAUUGAAUGAGCCGAUGUCGGAUUAGCUAGUUGGCGGGGUAAAGGCCCACCAAGGCGACGAUCCGUAGCUGGUCUGAGAGGAUGAUCAGCCACACUGGAACUGAGACACGGUCCAGACUCCUACGGGAGGCAGCAGUGGGGAAUAUUGGACAAUGGGCGCAAGCCUGAUCCAGCCAUACCGCGUGGGUGAAGAAGGCCUUCGGGUUGUAAAGCCCUUUUGUUGGGAAAGAAAAGCAGCAGGUUAAUACCCCGCUGUUCUGACGGUACCCAAGGAAUAAGCACCGGCUAACUUCGCG